This is a long non-coding RNA of Arachis ipaensis, 1257 nucleotides long. RefSeq lists it as uncharacterized. The record is from RefSeq and is a predicted model, not a curated record. Lineage: Eukaryota; Viridiplantae; Streptophyta; Magnoliopsida; Fabales; Fabaceae.
AUAUUGUGACAUUGAUAUAUAAGACCACCACCUAUGGCGACCUAUCCAAGGUGAUUUUCUAGCACCUUUCAGAUAGAGUUUCUGUUUCAUACGUUUCUCUCUCUCUUCAAAGUUCAAACCCUUCAUCAAUUUCAUCUUAGCUCCUUAUUCAUUCAUUCUCAAUACAUCUUCUUCAAUCAAUAAUUUCCUUUCCAUUAUAAAUUAUUUUUCUCUUUCCCCCUCUAAGAUCUUGUGCCCUUCUCCUCAGAUUUAUUUAUUCUACUAUAUAUCUUUCCUAAUAAAUCUAACUCUAUAUAUAGAGAGAGUUAAAUUUAUGAUCAAUAUGUUCAAGAAGAGACAAGAUCAGAUACAUACAUAUAUGCAGGAGAAGAGUGAUAUACAAUUAAUGGUCACAAAACGUUGCAAAAGAGGAUGAUAUACAAGUGUUUGGACGUUGAGGAGAUUAUAAAUGUUGACAGAAGAGAGAGAGCACAACCCGAGAAAUGGUCAAAGAAUCUUUUACCUUUGUUGGGAGUGUGCUUUCUAUUCUUUUGUCAUCAUCUUUGUCUUUGUUUAUAUGGUAUACAUCUUUUUUUCUCUUAAUAAUCACUACUAUAUAUCUUAAUUACCAUUCAAGCCAACUAGCCAAGGUAUGUAAUGAGGUUAUAAAUUUUCUUUCUACUAAAAUAGUGAGAAUAAAAUCGAGUUGAGUUGAUUUAGUGGUUAGUUUACUAGUUCGAAUUCUGUUUUGUGCAUAAUGCAGUAAUUUAUUGGCCAAUAAUAAACCUUUAAAUAAAGAUCAGUACCACGACAGAUUAAUUUUUAACUUGUCGGGAUAGAAGAUAAGUAUUGAAAAUUAAUUUUUAAUUAGUCAAUAAUAUUAAUUAAUUAUUUUUUUCAUUAUAAAAUUUUAGUGUACAAAUAAUAUUUUUAUUUUAGUAUAUGUGUAUUUAUAACUAUUAGAAAGUAUGUACGGUGCAAGAAGCUAAGAAUGAUCGAGAAUGAUGAUGGUGAUGGAGCAGAAUCAAAUCAAGCAACAGCAACAUGAAAUUAAAGUCAAUUUCUGUAAUUUGGCUUUUUCAGAAAGACCAAUAUUUGUGCCAACCUUUCAUGUAUACGGUCGCUACUUUAGGAGAAAAUAAGGAUCUGAUCUGAUAAGAUAAUGUUUAUAGUCAACUUUUUCUUUUAUUGGUUUGUGGAAAUUAAUAUCUGCUUUAGAGAAAAUGACUCUUAAAAUAUCUUCUUCUAUUUAUUAAUAUUAUUGUACAAUAUUUCUUG